CCUCAACACUUUUCUGCCAGCGAGGGGACAGAACAGGACACAGGAAAUGUAACCUCACCACUGCAAAACACAGAAAAAUAAACACUGCCCUGGUCCUGUUGGCAAUUUGUGGAAGCUCAGAGAGCCACCACACUCCAACCCCGGAUGGGCAGAGAUCUCUGUACUGAUCAACCUCUGUCAAAAUCAGCCAUGUGGCACCUGCCAGCUCAAUGGAACAUACCUCUGGGUGGGGUAUGGAGGCAUCAUUUCAAAAGGUGUGGAGAAUGUCAAAACUCAAACCUCUGGAACUAAGGGAAUAAAACAUGAAGGAAAUCACAGAAUUGGUCGAGUUGGAAGUACUUCAGUGCAUCAUGUGGUCCAACAUUCUUGUUCAAGCAGGUCAUCCUAAAGCUCAUGGCACACAAUAGGCCCCAGAAGAGGAAGGAAACCCCACAAUCUCUAUGGGCAAUCUGUUUCGGUGCUCCAACACUCCCACAGUAAAGGGGCUCUUCCUCAUAUUCAGGUUGAACUUCCUGUGUAUCAACUUCUGCCCAUCACCUUUGGUUCUGUUGUUUGGCACCACGAGGAAGAGUCUGGAAAUACCCUUAUGACACCCUCCCUUUAGAUAUUGAUGCACUUUAUUGAGUUAAUGUGAAUGGAGAUAGCUGGAAUAUAAACAGUGUAUUUUCUGCAAAACAGCCAGAAGAGAUCAUUCUCAGCCAUGCCUACAGCUCUUGCUAAACCUCACUAAGGUCUGUCAGAUUCUCUUGACCCAGGGUUAGUUGCCACUCAUGACUGGUGUUUGCAGUUUCCUCCCAUAAAGGUCUUAAGUCAGAUAACAAACAGGCUAAAAGCUUCCAGGACUGUUUUGUGGUGUGGUCAGAGUAAACAAUCACACUAGGCUUUUUGACCAUAAAAACUAUAAGGUUUUGAAUACUUCCUUAACAUUUCCUAAAGCAGCGCUCUUCUUCGUUUUCCUAGCAUAUCUCCACAGCAUAGGGAAUGCUAUAAUGUUAUGAUCUCCCAGAGGAAUAUCAUAGUCUAAUGAUCAAAUAAGGGAAAAAUAAGAGGAAAAUCUUAGAAACAAUAUAAGGAGUAUGAAAAUGAGUUAAGAAGUAAAAAGUAUUUAAAAGAUUCCACUGCACUAUCUUCCUGUUAUUUCUAUUUUUUACUUUGUUGAAAAGGGAGUCAUUGAUAAAUGUAAUGGCUUUCUCUAUUGUUCUUCUCUAAAGUUAUCUCUACAAGCUUGCUGACAUGUUACACGGGCAAAUAACUACUUUCCAAAUUAUGCUGGCAAAACCAGUAUUACAGGAAGAACGGUGCUGAUCAACACAUAGAAACAUACUAAAUAAAUUUAAAAGUUCUAAGCCAAUUUAUUUUCUCACUAAAGAGAUCUCAAAAAAUUAACACCACAGGAAAAAAAGGCAAAGAUUUAAUUGUAGAAUUGCUAUUUAUAUCAUUACUCAUUUUAUCUAUGAAACAUUCGGAUAAGGCUCAAAGUCUAAACUGAUUAUAUUCUGUGAGACUAAAAUGGAUUGACUAAAGAUUUUAAACUCCUAGGUAAGUAAAUAUCAAAGUCCCAUCUCAUGGUAACCAUAACAGUUAUUUCAAGACUUGAUAGAGGUACCUAUUUUUGACAUUUUACAUAAAGCUAGAAGAAAAUCUAUGUGAUACAGUGAAUGUAAAAUUAAAACAAGUAUCCUAACAUAGCAUUAAUAUAGUUUGUUUUUUUUUUUCAUAUAUCUGGGGAAUAAUAAAACCAGGUAUUUUUCCUGAGAGCUUUCUACCUAUCUGUUCCAUUUCCCCAUUUUUUUUACUGGCAGUGAUAUUCCUGCACCCUGAUGCUCUGUUUCUCUCCAUAGCUGGUCAAAGGGUUAGACUUAAUUUCUGAUUCAGUCAUCUGCCAGUUAGGCACCAGCAUACCACCCAUGUUGGAAUGGUGUCUGAACUCAAGUAUUAGGCACCCAGACUUAUCUGGUGCAUGUCCUGUUGGAAUAUGUGCCUUGGGCAAAAUGGAAGGUCCCUGGAGCAGAGACAGAGUGCACAGUGGAGGCAUUCUGCUCUCCCUGAGGAGCAGCAAAAGUUUUUUCAGAGUUUUCAAUAGAAAAACCAAUCCAUUUUAUGCAGACAAAGGCAGAAAAAACACACGUCCCAUGAAAAUAAUUUCUUUAGAAAACUCUUCAUCAAUUUACUAUGGGGGAUUUUCUAGGAGACCUUCGAUUUUUCAUUGUUCUGACACUAUUAUAAAAAUGCAGACUUUUUUUAAAAAACAACAAAAUAAAGUGGUGUUUGUGACAUUUUGGUCACAUUUUGGUGUUGGUGUUGGUGACAACAGCCUUAUAAAGAAGAUUUUGCAUAAAAAAUAAAUGACGAAGCUAGAGAACCUGCAUGGAAAAUUAAGCCUAUUUGAACCAUGCUGGACAGUAGCCCUUUGAUAAAACUCAUCUUAAAAGGAGGCUGUUGCUAGGAUACUAUGACUGCUGUCAUCAGUAUAAUGUGAUGGCAUGUACAUUUAUAUGUAUGUAUACGUAUAUAUAUAUUUUUUUUUAAUUAGAGCUCUUGACCGUUGAGCAGCACAAACUAUCAGCAAUGUUAUCAAACCUGUCAGGUAUGUUAAAGAUUGAAAAGAGCAUUCAAUUUCAUGCUGAAAAGACAAAGUGGAGUUAGUCUUCAAAGUGAAGCCCAUCAAAGAAUAUCACAAGAAACAGCCACAAUGCUUGUUAACUGCUUGAAUAGAAGAACAUAGACACAUGGCUCAGAAGCGAGCUGAAAACAGAAGCCAGAGUCCAAAGAUUGAACAGAUGCUGCUGAAGUGAGGGAAGUGGGUAGACAUUUCAUUCUGCUGGAAUCAAAGACAACUAAAACGAUAAGGACCAAAAAUGACCGUAAAUGAAUGUUAAAUUAGUUUUCUGAUUGGGAAUGGCUAGUUAGUAGAAAUUAUCAAAGUAGAGGAUAAAAGGGAUAUGUAGAAACUAUACAGAUCUGAAGUCAAAUUGGUUUACGGGCAAAAUUAUCACUGUUAACACAGCACAACAUCUCAACUAGAAGAGGCCGUUAGAUAGUCUUCAACACAUCUUCAUGUCAAAGAAAGUGUCCAAGACUCUCCAGGCUGUUCAGGUAUCUAUGCUAUCUAUUUCAGUGCAGUUUUGCCUCUGAGACUCUGGCCCUGCAGUCAGAGAAGAACAGUUCACAAAGAAAAUCAGCUUGCAUGACAAGUUUUGUACUCUGCCUGAGGAGGAGUGCAAAGGUCAAUUCUCUUUUCCAUGUGUCUGAUUCUUUAUUUGAGGUGCUACUUUCGGACAUGUUUAUUAUACUAACCAAAAUUAAUAACCAGCAUAACAGAGC
Catharus ustulatus (Swainson's thrush) is the source of this 3324-nucleotide long non-coding RNA. RefSeq lists it as uncharacterized. Lineage: Eukaryota; Metazoa; Chordata; Aves; Passeriformes; Turdidae. The record is from RefSeq and is a predicted model, not a curated record. The transcript has 4 exons.